Molecule: ribosomal RNA, 453 nt
Filed under: uncultured bacterium
Lineage: Bacteria
Description: bacterial SSU rRNA
Rfam family: Bacterial small subunit ribosomal RNA
Source: RNAcentral
GAUGAACGCUAGCGGCAGGCUUAACACAUGCAAGUCGAGGGGUAGAAGGAGCUUGCUCCUUUGAGACCGGCGCACGGGUGCGUAACGCGUAUGCAAUCUACCUUUUGCAGAGGAUAGCCCAGAGAAAUUUGGAUUAAUACCUCAUAGUAUGUGAGGAUGGCAUCAUUUUCACAUUAAAGUCACAACGGCAAAAGAUGAGCAUGCGUCCCAUUAGCUAGUUGGUAAGGUAACGGCUUACCAAGGCUACGAUGGGUAGGGGUCCUGAGAGGGAGAUCCCCCACACCGGUACUGAGACACGGACCAGACUCCUACGGGAGGCAGCAGUGAGGAAUAUUGGACAAUGGGCGCAAGCCUGAUCCAGCCAUGCCGCGUGCAGGAUGACGGUCCUAUGGAUUGUAAACUGCUUUUGUACAGGAAGAAACACUACUUCGUGAAGUAGCUUGACGGUACUGU